GAGAAUGUAAUUUGGUUGUUAUUAUAUUAACAUUUAAAGGCAAAAAUUUUAGGUUCGAAUCCUAUCUUUCUCA
This 73-nucleotide transfer RNA is filed under the name Microchloropsis gaditana. RNAcentral describes it as "Nannochloropsis gaditana tRNA". It matches the Rfam family "tRNA". Rfam says of the family: Transfer RNA (tRNA) molecules are approximately 80 nucleotides in length. Their secondary structure includes four short double-helical elements and three loops (D, anti-codon, and T loops). Lineage: Eukaryota; Eustigmatophyceae; Eustigmatales; Monodopsidaceae. The record is from Rfam by way of RNAcentral.